UUAAGUUAGAAAGGGCGCACGGUGGAUGCCUUGGCACUAGGAGCCGAAGAAGGACGGGACUAACACCGAUAUGCUUUGGGGAGCUGUACGUAAGCGUUGAUCCAGAGAUUUCCGAAUGGGGGAACCCACUAUCUUUAGUCGGAUAGUAUCCUUACGUGAAUACAUAGCGUGAGGAAGGCAGACCCAGGGAACUGAAACAUCUAAGUACCUGGAGGAAGAGAAAGAAAAAUCGAUUUCCUGAGUAGCGGCGAGCGAAACGGAAAGAGCCCAAACCAAGAAGCUUGCUUCUUGGGGUUGUAGGACACUCUAUACGGAGUUACAAAAGAAAGUUAUAAAUGAAGCGGUCUGGAAAGGCCCGCCAAAGACGGUAACAGCCCGGUAGUUGAAAUGGCUUUCCCUCCAGAGUGGAUCCUGAGUACGGCGGAACACGUGAAAUUCCGUCGGAAUCCGGGAGGACCAUCUCCCAAGGCUAAAUACUCCCUAGUGACCGAUAGUGAACCAGUACCGUGAGGGAAAGGUGAAAAGCACCCCGGAAGGGGAGUGAAACAGUUCCUGAAACCGUGUGCCUACAAGUAGUUAGAGCCCGUUAAUGGGUGAUAGCGUGCCUUUUGUAGAAUGAACCGGCGAGUUACGAUUUGUUGCAAGGUUAAGCGGAAAAAGCGGAGCCGUAGCGAAAGCGAGUCUGAAUAGGGCGCAUAAGUAACAGGUCGUAGACCCGAAACCAGGUGAUCUACCCAUGUCCAGGAUGAAGGUAAGGUAAUACUUACUGGAGGUCCGAACCCACGCACGUUGAAAAGUGCGGGGAUGAGGUGUGGGUAGCGGAGAAAUUCCAAUCGAACUUGGAGAUAGCUGGUUCUCUCCGAAAUAGCUUUAGGGCUAGCCUCGAGGUAAAGAGUCAUGGAGGUAGAGCACUGUUUGGACUAGGGGCCCUUCUCGGGUUACCGAAUUCAGAUAAACUCCGAAUGCCAUGUACUUAUACUCGGGAGUCAGACUGCGAGUGAUAAGAUCCGUAGUCGAAAGGGAAACAGCCCAGACCACCAGUUAAGGUCCCCAAAUAUAUGUUAAGUGGAAAAGGAUGUGGGGUUGCUUAGACAACCAGGAUGUUGGCUUAGAAGCAGCCACCAUUGAAAGAGUGCGUAAUAGCUCACUGGUCGAGUGACCCCGCGCCGAAAAUGUACCGGGGCUAAACAUAUUACCGAAACUGUGGAUGAACCUCUUUAGAGGUUCGUGGUAGGAGAGCGUUCUAAGGGCGGUGAAGUCAGACCGGAAGGACUGGUGGAGCGCUUAGAAGUGAGAAUGCCGGUAUGAGUAGCGAAAGAAGGGUGAGAAUCCCUUCCACCGAAUAUCUAAGGUUUCCUGAGGAAGGCUCGUCCGCUCAGGGUUAGUCGGGACCUAAGCCGAGGCCGAUAGGCGUAGGCGAUGGACAACAGGUAGAGAUUCCUGUACCAGUGCUAAUUGUUUAACCGAUGGGGUGACACAGAAGGAUAGGGAAUCGCACGAAUGGAAAUGUGCGUCCAAGCAGUGAGUGUGAGAAGUAGGCAAAUCCGCUUCUCGCGAAGCAUGAGCUGUGAUGGGGAAGGAAAUUAAGUACGGAAGUUCCUGAUUUCACGCUGUCAAGAAAAGCCUCUAGGAAGAGUAGUACUGCCCGUACCGCAAACCGACACAGGUAGAUGAGGAGAGAAUCCUAAGGUGAGCGAGAGAACUCUCGUUAAGGAACUCGGCAAAAUGACCCCGUAACUUCGGGAGAAGGGGUGCUCUAUUAGGGUGCAAGCCCGAGAGAGCCGCAGUGAAUAGGCCCAGGCGACUGUUUAGCAAAAACACAGGUCUCUGCAAAACCGUAAGGUGACGUAUAGGGGCUGACGCCUGCCCGGUGCUGGAAGGUUAAGAGGAGUGCUUAGCUUCGGCGAAGGUACGAAUUGAAGCCCCAGUAAACGGCGGCCGUAACUAUAACGGUCCUAAGGUAGCGAAAUUCCUUGUCGGGUAAGUUCCGACCCGCACGAAAGGCGCAACGAUCUGGGCACUGUCUCAACGAGAGACUCGGUGAAAUUAUAGUACCUGUGAAGAUGCAGGUUACCCGCGACAGGACGGAAAGACCCCGUGGAGCUUUACUGCAACCUGAUAUGGAAUGUUUGUACCGCUUGUACAGGAUAGGUAGGAGCCGAAGAGACGUGUGCGCUAGCAUACGAGGAGGCAAUGGUGGGAUACUACCCUGGCUGUAUGACCAUUCUAACCCGCCACGCUUAGCGCGUGGGGAGACAGUGUCAGGUGGGCAGUUUGACUGGGGCGGUCGCCUCCUAAAGAGUAACGGAGGCGCCCAAAGGUUCCCUCAGAAUGGAUGGAAAUCAUUCGCAGAGUGUAAA
Molecule: ribosomal RNA, 2360 nt
Filed under: Listeria monocytogenes
Lineage: Bacteria; Bacillati; Bacillota; Bacilli; Caryophanales; Listeriaceae
Description: bacterial LSU rRNA
Rfam family: Bacterial large subunit ribosomal RNA
Source: RNAcentral